AAGAACCUUUACCAGGUCUUGACAUCCCUUGACAGCCUAAGGAAAUUAGGUGUUCCGACUUCGGUUAGACAAGGAGACAGGUGGUGCAUGGUUGUCGUCAGCUCGUGUCGUGAGAUGUUGGGUUAAGUCCCGCAACGAGCGCAACCCUUAUUCUUAGUUGCCAGCACUAACGGUGGGCACUCUAAGGGAGACUGCCGGUGACAACCGGAGGAAGUGGGGAUGACGUCAAAUCAUCAUGCCCUUUAUGACCUGGGCUACACACGUGCUACAAUGGCCUAUACAAAGGGUAGCGAAGCUGUGAGGUGGAGCCAAUCCCAAAAAGUAGGUCUCAGUUCGGAUUGUAGGCUGCAACUCGCCUACAUGAAGUCGGAAUCGCUAGUAAUCGCGGAUCAGCAUGCCGCGGUGAAUACGUUCCCGGGCCUU
Molecule: ribosomal RNA, 423 nt
Filed under: uncultured Peptococcaceae bacterium
Lineage: Bacteria; Bacillati; Bacillota; Clostridia; Eubacteriales; Peptococcaceae
Description: bacterial SSU rRNA
Rfam family: Bacterial small subunit ribosomal RNA
Source: RNAcentral